UACGUAGGGCGCAAGCGUUGUUCGGAAUUACUGGGCGUAAAGGGCGCGUAGGCGGCCAUCUAAGUCAGACGUGAAAUCCCCCGGCUUAACCUGGGAACUGCGUCUGAUACUGGACGGCUUGAGUAUGGGAGAGGGAUGUAGAAUUCCAGGUGUAGCGGUGAAAUGCGUAGAUAUCUGGAAGAAUACCGGUGGCGAAGGCGGCAUCCUGGACCAUUACUGACGCUGAGGCGCGAAAGCUAGGGGAGCAAACGGG
Molecule: ribosomal RNA, 253 nt
Filed under: uncultured bacterium
Lineage: Bacteria
Description: partial 16S ribosomal RNA
Rfam family: Bacterial small subunit ribosomal RNA
Source: RNAcentral